Molecule: small nuclear RNA, 104 nt
Organism: Nycticebus coucang (slow loris)
Lineage: Eukaryota; Metazoa; Chordata; Mammalia; Primates; Lorisidae
Source: RefSeq, a predicted model, not a curated record
UUGCUUCAGCAGCAUAUAUACUAAAAUUGAAAAGAUACAGAGAAGAUUAGGAUGACCCCUGAGCAAGGAUGGCACACAAACUCACAAAGCAUUCCCCCAAAGUU